Molecule: ribosomal RNA, 497 nt
Filed under: uncultured bacterium
Lineage: Bacteria
Description: partial 16S ribosomal RNA
Rfam family: Bacterial small subunit ribosomal RNA
Source: RNAcentral
GACGAACGCUGGCGGCGUGCCUAAUACAUGCAAGUUGAGCGCUGAAGGUUGGUACUUGUACCAACUGGAUGAGCAGCGAACGGGUGAGUAACGCGUGGGGAAUCUGCCUUUGAGCGGGGGACAACAUUUGGAAACGAAUGCUAAUACCGCAUAAAAACUUUAAACACAAGUUUUAAGUUUGAAAGAUGCAAUUGCAUCACUCAAAGAUGAUCCCGCGUUGUAUUAGCUAGUUGGUGAGGUAAAGGCUCACCAAGGCGAUGAUACAUAGCCGACCUGAGAGGGUGAUCGGCCACAUUGGGACGGAGACACGGCCCAAACUCCUACGGGAGGCAGCAGUAGGGAAUCUUCGGCAAUGGACGAAAGUCUGACCGAGCAACGCCACGUGAGUGAAGAAGGUUGUCGGAUCGUAAAACUCUGUUGGUAGAGAAGAACGUUGGUGAGAGUGGAAAGCUCAUCAAGUGACGGUAACUACCCAGAAAGGGACGGCUAACUACGUG